GGGGGUGUAGCUCAGAUGGGAGAGCACCUGCCUUGCAAGCAGGGGGUCAGCGGUUCGAUCCCGCUCAUCUCCACCA
RNAcentral lists this transfer RNA (76 nucleotides) under Bacillota bacterium. RNAcentral describes it as "tRNA-Ala". It matches the Rfam family "tRNA". From Rfam's summary of the family: Transfer RNA (tRNA) molecules are approximately 80 nucleotides in length. Their secondary structure includes four short double-helical elements and three loops (D, anti-codon, and T loops). Lineage: Bacteria; Bacillati; Bacillota. The record is from RNAcentral. RNAcentral also lists the same sequence under 4 other names.